CUUUGUGAAGGCUAAAAUAAGCAGAAAUUUACGUCCAGAAUUAGGAUUUGUGAAAGGAUGGAAUUGAGAAGCAAAUUUAAAUUAGAAUAUAUGAUUUUGGGCUAUGCACAGCAAAAUAAAAGGUUUAGCCUUCGCACCUAAAUUUUCUCAGACGUUACAAGGUUACAUAUGCAUCACCCCUAGGGUUGGAUUGCAUCACACAAAUCAAAGCAUAAUUGCUAAAAUUUGCAUUGAUCAAAAACUUCCAAACAACAUUACAUAGGUAUUUAUAUAUUUAAAAAAGUACUCCCAAACCUUGAAGGAUUUGGACUUCAAAAAGUAAUCCUUAACCAACAAGGACUCUAAAUAAAAACUCCUAUAGAAAUUUAGAUCUUUCCAGAAAAUCUAAAAUUACAAUUAUUGCUGUGACAAAAAAGGACCAACAACUAAUAUAUUUAAAUAUACAAUAAGAAAAACUCUAAAAGAACUAGGAAGUACUCUAUAAUUUC
RNAcentral lists this unclassified non-coding RNA (488 nucleotides) under Hevea brasiliensis (rubber tree). Lineage: Eukaryota; Viridiplantae; Streptophyta; Magnoliopsida; Malpighiales; Euphorbiaceae. The record is from RNAcentral.